AACGAACGCUGGCGGCGUGGCUAACCCAUGCAAGUCGAACGCGAACGUGCCCUUCGGGGCGCUAUUAGCGUGGCGAAAGGGUGAGUAACACAUGGGCAACAUACCCCGGGCUGGAGGAUAGUCCAUCGAAAGGUGGCGUAAUACUCCAAACACCGCGAGACGGAAUCGCCUUGCGGUCAAAGGCGGGGCCCCGCACCCAACCCAUUGUCAGGAGCAUCGUAGCGGAGCCUGGCCGUGGUUUGGGUGCGGGGCCUGUCGGCUUGGGAUUGGCCCAUGUCCCAUCAGCUUGUUGGUAGGGUAACGGCCUACCAAGGCAUCGACGGGUAGCCGGACUGAGAGGUCGAUCGGCCACAUUGGGACUGAGACACUGCCCAGACUCCUACGGGAGGCUGCAGGGACGAAUAUUGGGCAAUGGGCGAAAGCCUGACCCAGCGACGCCGCGUGUGGGAGGAAGCCCUUCGGGGUGUAAACCACUGUCAGGAGUUACCAAGCAAUUCCCGCUAAUAUCGGGAGGCGUUGAGGAGCUCCGAAGGAAGCCACGGCUAACUUCGUGCCAGCAGCCGCGGUAAGACGAAGGUGGCUAGCGUUGUUCGGAAUCAUUGGGCUUAAAGAGCACGUAGGCGGCCCGUCAAGCGUCUUGUGAAAUCCCUCGGCUCAACCGAGGAAUGGCUUGGCGAACUGGCGGGCUUGAGACAGGCAAGGGUGCGUGGAACUCUUGGUGGAGCGGUGAAAUGCGUAGAUAUCAAGAGGAACGCCGGUGGCGAAAGCGAUGCACUGGGCCUGACCUGACGCUGAGGUGCGAAAGCUAGGGUAGCGAACGGGAUUAGAUACCCCGGUAGUCCUAGCCGUAAACGAUGUCCACUAGGUUGAGGAUCUUUUGACGGAAUCUCGGCCGCAGCUAAAGCGUUAAGUGGACCGCCUGGGGAGACGGUCGCAAGGCU
This 941-nucleotide ribosomal RNA is filed under the name uncultured Planctomycetota bacterium. RNAcentral describes it as "bacterial SSU rRNA". It matches the Rfam family "Bacterial small subunit ribosomal RNA", at positions 28 to 895 of the family's 1533-position model. Lineage: Bacteria; Pseudomonadati; Planctomycetota. The record is from RNAcentral.